GAUGAACGCUGGCGGCGUGCCUAAUACAUGCAAGUCGAGCGAACGGACGAGAAGCUUGCUUCUCUGCUGUUAGCGGCGGACGGGUGAGUAACACGUGGAUAACCUACCUAUAAGACUGGGAUAACUUCGGGAAACCGGAGCUAAUACCGGAGAAUAUUUUGAACCGCAUGGUUCAAAAGUGAAAGACGGUCUUGCUGUCACUUAUAGAUGGAUCCGCGCUGCAUUAGCUAGUUGGUAAGGUAACGGCUUACCAAGGCAACGAUGCAUAGCCGACCUGAGAGGGUGAUCGGCCACACUGGAACUGAGACACGGUCCAGACUCCUACGGGAGGCAGCAGUAGGGAAUCUUCCGCAAUGGGCGAAAGCCUGACGGAGCAACGCCGCGUGAGUGAUGAAGGUCUUCGGAUCGUAAAACUCUGUUAUUAGGGAAGAACAUAUGUGUAAGUAACUGUGCACAUCUUGACGGUACCUAAUCAGAAAGCCACGGCUAACUACGUG
This 497-nucleotide ribosomal RNA is filed under the name uncultured bacterium. RNAcentral describes it as "partial 16S ribosomal RNA". It matches the Rfam family "Bacterial small subunit ribosomal RNA", at positions 28 to 507 of the family's 1533-position model. The record is from RNAcentral.